RNAcentral lists this long non-coding RNA (22796 nucleotides) under Lathyrus oleraceus (garden pea). RNAcentral's name for it is "Pisum sativum (pea) long non-coding RNA (PSAT_LNC040039)". Lineage: Eukaryota; Viridiplantae; Streptophyta; Magnoliopsida; Fabales; Fabaceae. The record is from RNAcentral.
AACAAGAACACUAAUAAAACUAUCAAUCUUCUCAAUUCUUAAUAACAAUAUACAAAAUUUAGCAAAACAAGAACACUAAUAACACUAUCAAUCUUCUCAUUUCUUGAUAACAAUAUACAAAAUUUAACAAAACAAGAACACUAAUAACACUGUCAAUCUUCUCAUUUCUUGAUAACAAUAUACAAAAUUUAGCAAAACAAGAACACUAUCAAUCUUCUCAUUUUUUGAUAACAAUAAAGAAAAUUUAGCAAAACAAGAACACUAAUAACACUAUCCAUCCUUUCAUUUCUUGAUAACAAUAUACAAAAUUCAGCAAAACAAGAACCCUAAUAACACUAUCAAUCUUCUCAUUUCUUGAUAACAAUAUACAAAAUUCAGCAAAACAAGAACACUAAUAACAGUAUCAAUCCUCUCAUUUCUUGAUUACAAUAUACAAAAUUUAGCAAAACAAGAACAUUAAUAACAUUAUCAAUCUUCUCAUUUCUUGAUAACAAUAUACAAAAUUUAGCGAAACAAGAACACUACUAACACUAAAUCAAUCUUCUCAUUUCUUUUAAUAAACAAUAUACAAAAUUUAGCAAAACAAGAACACUAAUAACAUCUAAUCAAAUCUUCUCAAUUUCUGAUGUAACAAUAUACAAAAUUUAGCAAACCAAGAACAUAAUAACACUAUCAAUCUCUCAUCAUUUCUUGAUAAACAAUAUACAAAUUUUAUGCAAAACAAGAAACACUAAUAAACACUAUCAAUCUUUCCAUUUCUUGAUAACAAUAUACAAAAUUUAGCGAAACAAGAACAAUAAUAACACUACACAAUCUUUAUUCUGAAUAAACAAUAUACAAAAUUUAGCAAAACAAGAACCAUCUAAUAAGCAUUCUAUCAAAUCUUCUCAUUUCUUGAUAACAAUAUACAAAAUUUAGCAAACUAGAUACACUAAUACACUAUCAAUCUUUCUCAUUUCUUUGAUAACAAUAUAUCUACUAAAUAUUAGCAAAAACAAGAACACUAAUAACAAAUGUAUCAAUCCUCUCAUUUCUUAAUAACAAUCUAAAUAAAAUUUAGCAAACAAGACAAUAACACUUCAAUCCUCUCAUUCUGAUAACAAACAUAUAACAAACAAACACUAAUCACUAUCAAUCUUCUGCAUUUCUUGAUGAACAUAUACAAAAUUUUAGCAAAACAAGACACUAAUAACACAUAUCAAUCUUCUCAUUUUUGAUAACAAUAUACAAAUUAAAAAAAACCAAGAACACUAAUAACACUAUCAAUCUUCUCAUUUCUUAUAACAAUGAUACUAAAAUUUAGCAAAACAAGAACACUAAUAACACAUAUCAAUCUUCUGACUUUCUUGAUAACAAUAUAAAAAAAUUUAGCAGAAACAGAACACUAAUAAACUAUCAAUCUUCUCAUUUUCCUUAAUAACAAUAUACAAAUUUAAAAACAAGAACACUAAAUAACACUAUCAAUCUUCAUUUCUUGAUAAACAAUAUCAAAAUUAGCAAAACAACAUUAAUAACACUAGUCAUCUCUCAUUUCUUGAUACAAUAUACAAAUUUAGAAAAACAAGAACACUAUACACUAUCAUCUUCUCAAAUUUUCUUGAUAACAAUAUACAGAAAUUUAGCCAAUAACAAGAACACUAAUAACACUAUCAUCUCUCAUUUCUUGAUACAAUAUAUCAAAAUUCGCAAUACAAAGAAACUAUAACACUAUCAACUUCUCAUUCUUGAUAACAAUAUACAAAUUAGGCAAACACAAAACACUAAUAACACCUAUCAAUCUCUCAUUUCUUGAUAACAUAUACAAAAUUUAGCAAAACAAGAACAUAUAACAUUAUCCAUCUUCUCAUUUCUUGAUAACAAUAUACAAAUUUACGAAACAAGAACACUAAUAACACUAUCAAUCUUCCUCAUUUUUGAAUCAACAAUAUACAAAAUUUAGCAAAACAAGAAACUAAUAACACUAUCAAUCUUUCUCAUUUCUUGAUAAAAUAUACAAUUUAGCAAAAACAGAAGCACUAAUAACACUAUCAAUUGUCCUCAUUUUCUUUGAUAACAAAUACAAAAUUUAGCAAAAACAAGAACACUAUAACACUAUCAAUCUUCCAUUUCUUGAUAACAAAUACAAAUUUAGCAAAACAAGAACAAUAAUAACACUUCAAUCUUCUUUCCUUGAUAACAAUAUACAAAAUCUAGCAAAAAAGAACACUAAUAACACUAUCAAUCUUCUGUUCUUUUGAUAACAAUAUACAAAUUUGCAAAACAGAGAACACUAAUAACACUUCAUCUUCUCAUUUUUCAUAACAAUAUACAAAUUUACAAACAAGAACAUAAUAACAUAUCUAUCUUCUCAAUUUUCUUUGAUAACAAUAUACAAAUUUAGCAAAACAAGAACAUAAUAACACUAUCAAUCUUCUCAUUUCUGAUAACAAUAUACAAAAUUUAGCAAAACAAGAACAAAUAACAUAUCAAUCUUCUAUUUCUUGAUAACAAUAUACAAAUUUAGCAAAACAAGAACACUAAUAACACAAAUCUUCUCAUUCUUGAUAAAUAUACAAAAUUUAGCAAAACAAGAAACACUAAUAACAUUAUCAAUUCUCUCAUUUCUUAAUAACAAUACAUAAUUUAGCAAACAAGAACAUAAUAACACUGCUUCAUCUCUCAUUCUUGAUAACAAUAUACAAAAUAUAGCAAAACCAGAAACACUAAUACACUCAUCAAUCUUCUCAUUUCUUGAUAACAAUAUACAAAAUUUGCAACAGAACAUAAUACACUAUCAAUCUUCUCAUUUCUUGAUUAACAUAUACAAAAUUUAAAAAAAAACAAGAACACUAAUAACACUAUAUCUCUCAUUUCUUGAUAACAAUAAUACAAAAUUUAGCAAAACAAGACACUAAUAACAUUCAAUCUUCUCAUUUCUUGAUAAACAAUAUAAAAAAUUUAGCAAAACAAGAACAUAAUAACUAUCAAUCUUCUCAUUUCUUAAACAAUAUACAAAAUUUAGAAAAACAGAACACUAAUAACAUAUCAUCUUCUCAUUUCUUGAUAACAAUAUACAAAUUUAGCAACAAGAACACUAAUAACACUUCAAUCUUCUCAUUUUUGAUAACAAUAUACAAAAUUUAGCAAAACAAGAACACUAUCAAUCUUCUCAUUUUUGAUAACAAUAUACAAAAUUUAGCAAAACAAGAACACUAAUAACACUAUCAUCUCUCAUUUCUGAUAACAAUAUACAAAAUUCAGAACAAACAAGAAGCUUCAUUCUUGAUAACAACUAUCAUUCCAACAAGACAUAUCAUUCCAUGUCUGAUAAAUGAAAAUUUCUAAGCAAAUCAAGACACAAUAAACAUCCACUACAUUUGAACAAUUUUACGAACAAGAAAUGAUACACUCUCCAAUUCUCAUUCUGAUAACAAUAUACAAAUUUAGAAAACAAGAACUUAUCAAUCCUCUCAUUUCUUGAUAACAAUAUACAUAAUUUAGCAAAACAAGAACACUAAUAACACUAUCAAUCUUCUCAUUUCUUGAUAACAAUAUACAAAAUUUAGAAAAACAAGAACACUAAUAACACUAUCAAUCUUCACAUUUCUUGAUAACAAUAUACAUAAUUUAGCAAAACAAGAACAAUAAUAACACUCUCAGUCCUCUUUUUUCUUGAUAAUAAUAUACAAAAUUUAACAAAAGAAGAACACUAAUAACACUAUCAAUCUUCUGAUUUCUUGAUAACACUAUACAAAAUUUAGCAAAACAAGAACACUAAUAACACUGUCAAUCUUCUCAUUUCUUGAUAACAAUAUACAAAAUUUAGCAAAACAAGAACACUAUUAAUCUUCUCAUUUUUUGAUAACAAUUUACAAAAUUUAGCAAAACAAGAACACUAAUAACACUAUCCAUCCUCUCAUUUCUUGAUAACAAUAUACAAAAUUCAGCAAAACAAGAACCCUAAUAACACUAUCAAUCUUCUCAUUUCUUGAUAACAAAAUUUAGCACAAACAAGAACACUAAUAAACACUAUCAAUCUUUCUUGAUAACAAUAUACAAAAUUCAGCAAAACAAGAACACUAAUAACACUAUCAAUCUUCUCAUUUCUUGAUAACAAUAUACAAAAUUCAGCAAAACAAGAACACUAAUAACACUAUCAAUCCUGUCAUUUCUUGAUAACAAUAUACAAAAUUUAGCAAACCAAGAACAUUAAUAACAUUAUCAAUCUUCUCAUUUCUUGAUAACAAUAUACAAAAUUUAGCAAAAUAAGAACACUAAUAACACUAUCAAUCUUCUUAUUUCUUGAUAACAAUAUACAAAAUUUAGCAAAGCAAGAACACUAAUAACACUAUCAAUCUUCUCAUUUCUUGAUAACAAAAUAGAAAAUUUAGCAAAACAAGAACACUAAUAACAAUAUCAAUCCUCUCAUUUCUUGAUAACAAUAUACAUAAUUUAGCUAAACAAGAACACUAUCAAUCUUCUCAUUUCUUGAUAACAAUAUACAAAAUUUAGCAAAACAAGAACACUAAUAACACUAUCAAUCCUCUCAUUUCUUAAUAACAAUAUACAAAAUUCAGCAAAACAAGAACCCUAAUAACACUAUCAAUCUUCUCAUUUCUUGAUAACAAUAUACAAAAUUCAGCAAAACAAGAACACUAAUAACACUAUCAAUCCUCUCAUUUCUUGAUAACAAUAUAAAAAGUUUAGCAAACAAGAACACAAUAACACUAUCAAUCUUCUCAUUUCUUAAUACAAAUAUAGAAAAUUUAGCAAAACAAGAACACUAAUAACACUAAUCAAUCUCUCUCUUUCUUAGAUAACAAUAUACACAAAUUUUAGCAAAACAAGAACACUAAUAACAUUAUCAAUCUUCUCAUUUCUGAUAACAAUUAGACAAAUUUAGCAAAACAAGAACACUAUAUAACACUAUCAAUCUUUCUCAUUUCUUGAUAACAAUAUACAAAAUUAUAAAAACAGAAACACUAAUAACACUAUCAAUCUUCUCAUUUCUUGAUAACAAUAUAACAAAAUUUAGCAAAACAAGAACACUAAUAACACUAUCAAUCUUCUCAUUUCUUGAUAAAAAUAGCAAAAUUAGCAAAACAAGACACUAUAACAACUAUCAAUCUUCUCAUUUCUUAAUAACAAUAUACAAAUUUAGCAAAAAGAACACUAAUAACACUAUCAAUCUUUCCAUUUCUUGAUAACAAUAUACAAAAUUGCAAAACAAGAACACUAAUAACACUCAAUUCUUCUCAUUUCUUGAUAACAAUAUACAAAAUUUAGCAAAACAAGAACACUAUCAAUCUUCUCAUUUCUUGAUAACAAUAUACAAAAUUUAGCAAACAAGAAACACUAAUAACACUAUCAUCUCUCAUUUCUUGAUAACAAUAUACAAAAUUCAGCAAAACAAGAACCUAAUAACAUAUCAAUCUUCUCAUUUCUUGAUAACAAUAUACAAAAUUCAGCAAAACAAGAACAUAAUAACUAUCAAUCCUCUCAUUCUUGACAACAAUAUACAAAAUUAAGGCAAAACAAGAACAUUAAUAACAUUAUCAAUCUUCUCAUUUCUUGAUAACAAUAUACAAAAUUUAGCGAAACAAGAACACUAAUAACACUAUCAAUCUUCUCUUUUUUCUUAAUAACAAUAUACAAAAUUUAGCAAAACAAGAACACUAAUAACACUAUCAAUCUUCUCAUUUCUUGAUAACAAUAUACAAAAUUUAGCAAAAACAAGAACACUAAUAAACACAUCAAUCUUCUCAUUUCUUGAUAACAAUAUACAAAAUUUAGCAAAGCAAAGAACACUAAUAACACUAUCAAUCUUCUCAUUCUUGAAUAACAAAAUAGAAAAUUUAGGCAAAACAAGAACACUAAUAACAUCAAUCCUUCAUUUCUUGAUAACAAUAUACAAAUUUAGCAAAACAAACACUAAUAACAUAUCAACCUCAUUUCUUGAUAACAAUAUACAAAAUUUGCAAAACAAGAACACUAUAUUAACACUAUCAAUUUCUCAUUUCUUAAUAACAAUAUACAAAAUUUAGCAAAAAAAACAAAACAUAAUAACACUAUCAAUCUCUCAUUUCUUGAUAACAUAUACAAAAUUUGGCAAAACAAGAACACUAAUAACACUAUCAAUGCUUCUUCAUUUCUUGAUAACAAAUAUACAAAUUUAAAAACAAGAACACUAUAACAACUAUCAAUCUUCUCAUUUCUUGAUAACAAUAUACAAAAUUUAGCAAAACAAGAAACUAAUAACACUAUCAAUCUUCUCAUUUCUUGAUAACAAUAUCAAAAUUUAGCAAAACAAGAACACUAUAACACUAUCAAUCUUCUCAUUUCUUAAUAACAAUAUACAAAAUUUAGCAAAACAAGAACACUAAUAACACUAUCAAUCUCUCAUUUCUUGAUAACAAUAUACAAAAUUUAGCAAAACAAGAACACUAAUAACACUUCAAUCUUCUCAUUUCUUGAUAACAAUAUACAAAAUUUAGCAAACAAGAACACUAAAACACUAUCAAUCUUCUCAUUUCUUGAUAACAAUAUAAAUUUAGCAAAACAAGAACACUAAUAACAACAUCUCAUCCUCUAUUUCUGAUAACAAUAUACAAAAUUCAGCAAACAAGAACCCUAAUAACACUAUCAAUCUUCUCAUUUCUUGAUAACAAUAUACAAAAUUCAGAAACAAGAACACUAAUAACACUAUCAAUCUUCUCAUUUCUUGAUAACAAUAUAAAAUUUAGCAAAAACAAGAACAUUAAUAACAUUAUCAUCUUCUCAUUUCUUGAUACAAUAUACAAAAUUUAGCAAAAAAGAACACUAAUAACACUAUCAAUCUUCUCAUUUCUUGAUAACAAUAUACAAAAUUUAGCAAACAAGAAACUAAAACACUAAUAAUCUCUCAUUUCUUGAUAACAAUAUACAAAAAUUAUAGAAAACAAGAACACUAUCAAUCUUCCUCAUUUUUUGAUAACAAUAUCAAAAUUUAGCAAAACAGAACACUAAAACACUAUCUCUUCUCAUUUCUUGAUAACAAUAUACAAUUCGCAAAACAAGAACACUAAUAACACUAUCAAUCUUCUCAUUUCUUGAUAACAAUAUACAAAAUUUAGCAAAACAAGAACACUAAUAACACUAUCAAUCCUCUCAUUUCUUGACAACAAUAUACAAAAUUUAGCAAAACAAGAACAUUAAUAAACUAUCAAUCUUCUCAUUCUUAUAACAAUAUACAAAAUUUAAGCGAAACAAGAACACUAAUAACACUAUCAAUCUUCUCAUUUCUAUAAUAACGAAUAUACAAAAUUUAGCAAAAAAGAAAACACUAAUAACACUAUCAAUCUUCUCAUUUCUUGAUAACAAUAUACAAAAUUACAAAACAGAACAACUAAUAACACAUCAAUUUUCUCAUUUCUUGAUAACAUAUACAAAAUUUAGCCAAAAGCAAGAAACACUAAUAAACUAUCAAUCUUCUCAUUUCUUAAUAACAAUAAUAGAAAAUUUAGCAAAACAAGAAACACUAAAACACUAUCAAUCAUCUCAUUUCUUAAUAAACAAUACANNNNNNNNNNNNNNNNNNNNNGGCAAAAAAAGAAGGGAGAGGAGGGAGGAGUAGAGGGAAUAUAUAUCUGCAACAUACAGCCAGGAGAGUAUUAUAUUUAAUUUUAAUAUAGAGAGAAUUCACACACAUUACAGUAAGUAACUCAAUAUAUAUAAAUUAACAACAUCUCUAUAUGUAUUAUAAUAUACACAUAUAAUCUAUAUAUUAUCUCAAUCUAGUAUCACUAAUUAGAUAUCACUUAGAUCACAUACACCUUAUAACUCACAAAAAGAAUAUUUUAUAUAUAUAGCGCGAGAGAUAUAUAUACCACUCACUAGAAAAUACACAAAUCACAAAUUAUGACACCACUAUAUUCUUUCACAAAUGAGUUGACAUUAUAUAUAUAAAUACUAAAUAUUGUGUAGCAACAAUGAUAUAAUACUCACGCUUAUAAAUAACAUCUAUAGUAAGAAAGAAGAAAUAUUUAUGAAUAAACAAUCAUUGCUAUAUAAUAAUGAGAGAGUGCACAACACAUAAUAUAGGAACAUCAAUAUAGUAACAACAUAAUUCGGAUUAUGUCUCUCUCUAUAUGCUCAUAAUUUAUGCGUAUUAGAUAUAAAAAUAAUACAAAUAGCUUCUCACAUGCAAUAAAUGCAGGAUCACAAAUAUAUAUUAACACUAGUAAUCACAAACUUACUUACUCAUUUUUCUUGAAUAACUAAAUAUAUAACUUUUAAAGCACAUAACCACACGUAUAUUCACCUAAUAAACACUAUCAAUCUCUCAUUUCUUGAUAACAAUAUACAAAAUUUAGCAAAAACAAGAAACAACUAUAAUAACAUUAUCAAUUCGCUCUCAUUUCUUGAAAACAAUAUACAUAAUUUAGCAAAACAAGAACAAUAAAACACUCUCAAUCCUCUCAUUUCUUAAUACAAUAUACAAAAUUUAAGAAAAAGAAGAAACACUAAUAACACUAUCAAUCUCUGAUUUCUUGAUAACAAUAACAAAAUUAGCAAAACAAGAACACUAAUAACACUAUCAAUCUUCUCAUUUUCUUAUAACAAUAUACCAAAAUUUAAGCAAAACAAGAAACACUAAUAACACUAUCAAUCUUCUCAUUUCUUGAUAACAAUAUACAAAAUUUAGCAAAACAAGAACACUAAUAAACACUAUCAAUCUUCUCAAUUCUUGAUAACAAUAUACAAAAUUAAAAAAACAAAAGAACACUAAUAACACUAAUCAAUCUUCUCAUUUCUUGAUAACAAAUAUACAAUUUAAAAAACAAGAACACUAAUAACACUAUCAAUCUCUCAUUUCUUGAUAACAAUACUACAAAUUGCAAAACAAGAACACUAAUAACACUCAAUCUUCUCAUUUCUUAUAACAAUAAAAAAUUUAGCAAACAAGAACACUAAUAACACUAUCAAUCUUCUAUUUCUUGAUAAACAAUAUAAAAAAUUUAGCAAAAUAAAAACACUAAUAACACUAUCAAUCUUCUCAUUUCUUGAUAACAAUAUAAAAAAUUUAGCAAAAACAGAGACACUAAUAACACUAUCAAUCUUCUCAUUUCUUGAUAACAAUAUACAAAAUUUAGCAAAACAAAGAACACUAAUAAAACUAUCAAUCUUCUCAUUUCUUGAAUAACAAAUACAGAAUUUUAGCAAAACAAAGAACACUAAUAACACUAUCAAUCCUCUCAUUUCUUGAUACCAAUAUACAAAUUUAGCAAAACAAGAACACUAAUAAACUAUCAAUCUCUCAAUGUUCUUGAUAAUACAAUAUAUAAAUUUAGCACAAACAAGAACACUAAUAAACACUAUCAAUCUCUCAUUUCUUGAUAACAAUUACAAAUUUAGCAAAACAAGAACGUACUAAUAACACUAUCAAUCCUCAUUUCUUGAUAACAAUAUACAAAUUAGGAAACAAGAACACUAAUAACACUAUCAAUCUUAAUUUCUUGAUAACAAUAUACAAAAUUAGCAAAACAAGAACACUAAUAACACUAUCAUCUUCUCAAUUUCUUGAUAACAAAUAAUACAAAAAUUUAGCAAACAAGAACACUAAUAACACUAUCAAUCUUCUAAUUUCUUGAUAACAAUAUACAAAAUUUAGGAAAAAAGACAUGAUAACAUAUCAAUCUUCUCAUUCUUUUGAUAACAAAAUACAAAUUUAAGCAAAGCAAAGAACACUAAUAAAACUUCAAUUUCUCAUUUCUUGAUAACAAAAUAGAAAAAUUUUAGCAAAACAAGAACACAAAUUACUAUCAUCUUCUCAUUUCUUGAUAACAAUAUAUCAAAAUUAGCAAAACAAGAACAGCUAUAACAUUAAUGCAAUCCUCUCAUUUCUUGAUAACAAUAUACAUAAUUAGCAAAAACCAAGAAACACUAAUCAUCUUCUCAUUUCUUGAUAAUAAUAUACCCAAAAUUUAGCAAAACAGAACCAAUAACACUAUCGAUCCUCUCCCUUUCUUGAUAACAAAUAAAGUACGAAAUUCAGCAAAAAAGAACGCUAAUAACUACUAUCAGAUCUUCUCAUUUCUUGAUAACAAUAUACAAAAUUCAGCAAAACAAGAACACUAAUAACAUUAUCAAUCCUCUCAUUCUUGAUCAACAAAUAUAACAAAAUUUAGCAAAACAAGAACAUUAAUAACAUUAUCAAAUCUUUCCAUUUCUUGAUAACAAUAUAGAAAAUUUAGGCGAAACAAGAACACUAUAACACUAUCAAUCAUCCUUUCAUUUCUAAUAAUAAUAUAAAAUUUAGCAAAACAAGAACAACUAAAUAACACGUCAAAUCUUCACAUUUCUUGAUAAACAAUAUACAAAAUUUAGCAAAACAAGAACACUAAUAACACUAAUCGAUCUUCUCAUUUUCUUGAUAACAAUAUACAAAAUUUAAAGCAAAGCAAGACCACUAAUAACACUAUCCAAGCUUCUCAUUUCUUGAUAACAAAAUAGAAAAUUUAGCAAAACAAGAACACCUGAAUACACUAUCAUCCUUCUCAUCUCUUGAUAACAGUAUAUCAAAACUUUAGCAAAACAAGAACACUAAUAACAUUAUCAAUCCUCUCAUUUUCUUGAUAACAAUAUACAUAAUUUAGCAAAACCAAAACAAUAUACAACACUCUCAAUCCUCUCAUUUCUUAAUAACAAUAUACAAAAUUUAAGAAAAGAAGAACACUAAUGACACUAAUCAAUCUUCUGAUUUCUGAUAAACAAUCUACAAAAUAUAGCAAAACAAAGAACAUAAUAACACUAUGCAAAUCUUCUCAAUUUCUCAUAACAAUUAACAAAAUUUAGCAAAACAAAACACUAAAUAACACUAUCAUCUUCUCAUUUUUUGUACAAUAUAACAAAUUUAGCAAAACAAAGAACACUAAUAACACUAAUCAAUGCUUCUCAUUUCUUGAUACAAUAUACAAAAUUUUAGGCAAAACAAGAAACUAUAACACUAUCAAUCUUUCUCUAUUUCUUGAUAACAAUAUACAAAAUUUUUAAAAAAUAACAAGAACACAAUAACACUAUCAAUUUCUCAUUUCUCCUUGAUAACAAUAUACAAAAUUUAGCAAAACAAAAACACUAAUAACACUAUCAAUCUUCUAAUUUCUUGAUAAGCAAAUAUAAUCAAAAUUUUAGCAAAACAAUAACACUAAUACACUAUCAAUCUUCUCAUUUCUUUCUUGAUAACAAUAUACAAAACUUAAAAAAACAAAGAACACUAAUAAACACUACAUCUUCUCAUUUUUGAUAACAAAUUUACAAAACUUUAAAAAAACAAAAAACUAAUAACACUAUCAAUCUUCUCAUUUCUGAUAACAUAGAUAAAAUUUUGCAAAAACAACGAACACUAAUAACUACUGUCACUCUUCUCAUUUCUGAUAAACAAUAUACAAAAUUUAGCAAAACAAGAACACUAAUAACACUAUCAAUCUUCUGAUUUUCUUGAUAACAAUUUAUACAUAAUUUUGGCCAAAUAAAAACCUAAUAACACUAUAAAUCUCUUCAUUUCUUGAUAACGAUAUAAAAACUUAGCAAAAACAAGGACACUAAUAACACUAUCAAUCUUCACUUUCCUUGAUAUACAAUGAUACAAAAUUUAGCAAAACAGAAACACUAAUACAAAAACUAUCAAUCUUCUCAUUUCUUGAUAACAAUAACAGAAUUUUGCAAAACAAGAACAUUGAUAAACUAUCAAUCCUCUCAUUUCUUGAUAACAAUAUAACAAGAAUUUAGCCAAAAAAAGAACACUAAUAAACUCUAAUCCUCCAAUUUCUUGAUAAUAAUAUCAUAAAAUUUUAGCAAAACAAGAAACCAUAACACUAUCAAUCCUCUCAUUUAUUGAUAACAAUGUAACAGAAUUUAUCAAAGAACAAGAACACUAUAACACUUAUCAAUCCUCUUCAUUUCUGAUAACAAUUAGCAAAUUGCAGUAACAAAACAAGAAUACUAAUAUACUACUCUCAUCUUCUUCAUUUCUGAUAUACUAUAUUAUCAUAAAUUCAGCAAAACAUAGAACACUAUAACACUAUCAUCCUCUCAAUUUCUUGAAUAACAACAUACAAAAUUUAGCAAAACAAGAACAUUAAUAACAUUUAUCAAGUCUUCUCAUUUCCUUGAUAACAAUACUACAAAAUUUAGCAAAAACAAGAACACUAAUAACGAAUUUUCAAUUCUUUUUCAAUUUCCUUGAUUAACAAUAUACAAAAUUUAGCAGAAGCAAGAACAGACUAAUAAACUGAUCAAUCUUCUCAUCUUCUGAUAACAAAAAUAGAAAAUUUAGCAAAACAGAAGAAACACUAAUAACACUAAUCAUUCCUUCUCAUUUUCUUGAUAACAAUAUACAAAAAUUUAGCAAAACAGAACACUAAUAACAAUUAUCAUCCAAUCAUUUUCUUGAUAACAAUAUAUCAAAAUUUAGCAAACAAAAACAACUAAUAACACAAUCAAUCCUCCUCAUUUUCUUGAUUUAACAAUAUACAAAAUUCAGCAAAACAAGAACAGCCUAAUAACACUAUCAAUCUUUCAAUUUCUUAAUAACAAUAUACAAUUCAGCAAAACAAGAACACUAAUAACACUAUAUCCUCGUCAAUUUUCUUGAUAACAAUAUACAAUUUAAGCAAAAACAAGAACAUUAAUAACAUUAUCAAUCUUCUCAUUUCUUGAUAACAAUAUACCAAGUUAAGCAAAACAAGGACACUAAUAACACUAUCAAUCAUCUCAUUUCUUAAUAAUAAUAAUAUCAAAAUUUAGCAAAACAAGACCACUAAUAAACUAUGCAAUCUUCUCAUUUCUUGAUAACAAUAUAACAAAAUUUAAGCAAAACCCAAGAACACUCAUUAACACUAUCAUCUUCUCAUUUCUUGAUAACAACAUAACAAAUUACAAACCCAAGAACACUAAUAACACUAUCAAUCUCACAUUCUUGAUAAGCAAAUAUACAAAAUUUAGCAAACAAGAACAUUAAUAAACUAUCAAUCCUCUCAUUUCUUGAAUAACAAUAUACAAAUAUUCAGCAAAACAAGAACCUAAUAACAACUAUCAAUCUUCUCAUUUCUUGAAUAACAAUAUAAACUAAAAUUCAGCAAGAAGCAAGAACACUAAUAACCACUGUCAAUCCUCUCAAUUUCUGAUAACAAUUCAAAUUAAGCAAAACAAGAAAUAUUAAUAACAUAUCAAUCUUCUCAUUCUUAUAACAAUAUACAAGAAUUUGGCGAAACAAGGAACACCUAAUAACACAGAAUCAAUCAUCGUCAUUUUUAAUAAUAAUAUACAAAAUUUAGCACCACAAGAACACGUAAUAACACUACAAUCUUCUCAUCUUGAAUAACAAUAGUAUAAAUUAGCAAAACAAAGAAUAACUAAUAACGACUAUCACUCUUCGUCUUUCUUGAUAAGAAAAUACAAAAGUUUUAGCAAAACAAGAACAGCUAAUAACACUUUAUCGAAUCUUCACAUUUCUUGAUAACAAUAUACAAAAUUUAGGCAAAACCAAGAACACUAAUAACACUAUCAAUCCUCAUCAUUUCUUGAUAACAAUAUACGAAAUUCAGCAAACAAGAACCUAAUACACUAUCAAUCUUCACAUUUUCUGAUAACCAAUAUAAUAAUUUAUGCAAAACAAGAACACUAAUAACACUAUCCAAUCCUCUCAUUUAUUGAUAACAAUGUACAGAAUUUCAGCAAAGACAAGAACACUAAUAACACUAUCAAUCCUCAUCAUUUCUUCCUUGAUAACAAUAACAAAAUUCAGCAAAACAAGAAACACUAAUAACACUAUCAAUCUUCUCAUUUCUUGAUAACAAUAUACAAAAUUUCAGCAAAACAAGAACACUAUAACACUAUCAAUCCUCUAUUUCUUGAUAAACACAUACAAAAUUUAGCAAACAAAACAUUACUCAAGCAUUAAUCAAUCUUCUCAUUUCUUGAUAACAAACAAAAUUAGCAAAACAAGACACUACUAAUAACCUUUCAAUCUUCUCAUUUCUUGAUAACAAUAUACAAAUUUAGCAAAACAAGACACUAAUAACACUAUCAAUCUUCUCAUUUCUUGAUAACAAAUACAAAAUUUAGCAAAAGAAGAACACUAAAUACACUAUCAAUCUUCUCAUUUCUUGAUACAAUAUACAAAAUUUAGCAAAACAAGAACACUAAUAACAAUUCAUCCUCUCAUUUCUUUGAUAACAAAUACAAAAUUUAGCAAAAACAAGAGAACACUAUAACACUAUCAAUCCUCUCAUUUCUUGAUAACAAUAUACAAAAUUUCAGCAAAACAAGAACCCUAAUACACAUUCAAUCUUCUCAUUCUCUUAUAAACAAUAUACAAAAUUCAGCAAAACAAGAACACUAAUAACACUAUCAAUCCUCUCAUUUCUGAUAACAAUAUACAAAAUUUAGCAAAACAAGAACACUUAAUAACACUAUCAAUCGUUCUCAUUUUGAUAACAAUAUACAAAUUUAGCAACAAAACAAGAACACUAAUAAACAUUAUCAAUCCUCUCAUUCUUUGAUGAACAAUAUACAAAAUUUAGCAAAACAAGAACACUAAUAAACACUAUCAAUCCUCUCAUUUCUUGAAACAAAUAUACAAAAUUCAGCAAAACAAGAACCCUAAUAACACUAUCAAGCUUCUCAUUUCUUGAUAACCAAUAUACAAAAAAUUCAGCAAAACAAGAACACUAAUAACACUAUCAAUCCUCUCAUUUCUUGUAACAAUAUACAAAUUAGCAAAACAAGCAACGAUUAUAACAGUUAUCAAUCUACUCAUUCUUGAUAACAAUAUACAAAAAGUUAGCGAAAACAAGGACACUAAUAACACUAUCAAUAUCUCAUUUCUUUAAUAAUAGAAUAUACAAAAUUAGCCAAACAAGACCCCUAAUAACCACUAUUCAAUCUUCUCAUUCUUGAUAACAAUAUCAAAUUUAGCCGAAAAACAAAGAACACUAAUUACACUAUCAAUCUUUCUCAUUUCUUGAUAAAAACAUACAAAAUUUAGCAAAACAAAGACAUAUAACACUAUUCAUCUUCACAUUCUUAUACAAUAUACCAAUUUAGCAAAACCAAGAAACACUAAAUAACACUAUCAAUCAAACAAGAACACUAAAACACUGAUAAUCUUCUCAUUUCUUAAUAACAAUAUACAAAUUCUAGCAAACAAGACACUAAUAACAUAUCAAUCUUCUCAUUUCUUUAUAAACAAUAUACAAAAUUUAGCAACAAGGAACAUUAAUAACAUAUAAUCUUCUUCAUUUCUGCUAAACAAUAUACAAAAUUUAGCGCAAACAGAACAGCUAAUAACACUUAUCCAAUACUUCUCAUUCUCUAAAUAACCAAUAUAAAAUUUAAACAAACAAGAAUAAUAACACAUAUCAAUCUUCUAUUCUUGAUAACAAUAGAUACAAAUUUGCAAAACAAGAACACAAAUCACUAUCAAUCUCUCAUUCUAUAUGAUAACAAUAUACAUAAAUUUAGCAACAAGAAACAUAUCAACUAUCAUCUCUAUUUCUAUAAACAAUAGAAAAUUUAGCAAAACAAGAACCUAAUAACACUAACAUCCUUCUCAUUUCUGGAUAACAAUAUACAAAUUUAGCAAACAAGAACACUAUCACCAUUAUCAAUCUCUUCAUCUUCUGAUACUUACAUAUUUGCCAAAAGACCAAUGACACAAUAUCUCACAUAAAACGUCAAUUUACAACCGAACACUAAUAACUAUAUCAUCUGUAAAACAAUCUAUAUUACAAAAUGUAACUCCUCUUCUCGAUCAAUUUCAAAUUGAAACGAAAACCUAAUACAUUAUAAUUUCAUUUAUAUCAAGCAAAACAAGAACUUAAAUACAUCUAUCACAGUUCUCUCAUUUUUAUUAACAAUAUACAAAAUUUAGCCAACAAGACACUAUAUAACGCCUCUCUACUAUCAAUAUAAAUCGCAACAAGUAUCUGCAAUUUCUUAUCUAUAACCAUAUACAAUUAGCAAACAAAGAAACAUUAAACAUCUAUCAAUCUUCUCAUUCUUGAUAACGAAUAUACAAAAUUUUAGCGAAAACAAGAAACACUAAUAACACUAUCAAUCUUCUAUUUACUUAGAUAACAAUACACAAAAUUUUAGCAAAACAAGAACACAACAACUAUCAUCUUCUCAUUUUAUAUAACAAUAUACCAAACAUUAGCAAAAAAGAACAUACUAAAACACAUUAUCAUUCCUUCUCAUUUCUUUGAUAACAAUUAUACAAAAUUCAGCCAAAGACAGAGAACCAUAAAACAUAGUCAAUCUUCUCAUUUCUUAAUAACAAAUAGCAAAUUUUAGCAAAACAAGGAACACUAAAUCAAAACACUAAUCAAUUUUCCAAUCUUCAUUUCUUGAUACCAAUAUACAAAAUUUAGCAAAACAAGAACACUAAUAACACUGUCAAUCUUCUCAUUCCUUGAUAACAAUAUACAAAAUUUAGCAAAACAAGAACACUAAUAACACUAUCAAUCCUCUCAUUUCUUAAUAACAAAAUAGAAAAUUUAGCAAAACAAGAACAUUAAUAACACUAUCAAUCUUCUCAUUUCUUGAUAACAAUAUACAAAAUUUAUCAAAACAAGAACACUAAUAACACUAUCAAUCCUCUCAUUUCUUGAUAACAAUAUACAAAAUUCAGCAAAACAAGAACACUAAUAACACUAUCAAUCUUCUCAUUUCUUGAUAACAACAUACAAAAUUUAGCAAAAGAAGAACACUAAUAACACUAUCAAUCUUCAUAUUUCUUGAUAACAAUAUACAUAAUUUAGCAAAACAAGAACACUAAUAACACUAUCAAUCUUCUCAUUUCUUAAUAACAAAAUAGAAAAUUUAGCAAAACAAGAACACUAAUAACACUAUCAAUCUUCUCAUUUCUUGAUAACAAUAUAAUACUAUCAAUAUCUUCUCGAUUCGGGUUUUGUAGGAUAACAAUAUUAAAAUUUUUAAAAGAAGAAAAAAAAAAAAAAAAAGAAAGAAGAAAAAAACAAGAGAAAAGCACGAGCUCAUAACAUAAUCGAGAUCUGCUUCAUUUUCUUCCGAUAACGAAUAUACAAAAGUUUAGCCCCACCCCCCGCCGCCGCACGCCCACGCCCAGCCACCCCACCACGCCCCCGCCACACACCCCCCAAGCCCCAAAACCUAGAACGACUAACAUAAACACUAUCAAUCUUCUCAUUUUCUUGAAACAUAUACAAGAAUUUAGCCAAAAAAACAAGAACCAACGUAAUAAAAAACUAUCAGGUCUUUCAAUUUCUUUAAAAAUAACAAUAUACAAAAAUUUUAGGCAAAACACAAAGAACACAAUAACACUAUCAAUGUCUUCUCGAUUUCUUUGAUUAACAAUAUACAAAAGUGUUAGCAAAACAAAGAAACACAAAAACACGGUAUUCAAUCUUCUCCAGUUCCUGAAUAACAAUAUUACCAAAUUUCUAGCAAAAAACAGAAACCAUAAUAACACAUUCAAUCUUCUCAUUUCUGAUGAACAAAUAUGACAAAAAUUAUAGCCAAACACUAAAACACUAAUAACCACUUCAAUUCUUUCUCAGUUUCUUAAAUUACGAAUAUAGAAAAGUUUAGCAAAGAUAAUUAACACUAAUAACACUAUCAAUCUUCUCAUUCCUUGAUAACAAUAUACCAAAAUUUAGCAAAACAAGAACACUAAUAAACCUAAUUCAAUCUCUAAUUCUUUUGUGACAAUAUAAAAAUUUAGCAAAACGAGAACACUAAUAACGACUAUCGAAUCUUCUCAUUUCUUGAUAACAAUUAUACAGAAAUUUAGCAAAACAAGAAAAUACUAGUAAAACUAUUCAAUCUUCUCAUUUCUUGAACCAAUAUACAAAAAUUAUAGCAAAACAGAAACACUAAUAACACUAUCAACUUAUUCCAUCUUAAUAACAAUUAUACAAAAUUUACAAAAAACAGGAGAACAUAUAUAACACAUCAAUCUCUUCUCAUUUCUUGGAUAAAAUGUAGCAAAAUGUUGCAAAUAAGAACACUAUAACUACUAUCAAUCUUCUGAUUUCUUGAUAACAAUAUACCAAAAUUAAAACAAAACAAGACACUAAUAACACGUAUCAAUCUUCUCAUUUCUUGAUAAACAAUAUACAAAAAUUUAGGCAAGGUAAGCAGAACACUAAUAACACAUCAAUCUUCUCAUUUCUUGAUAAGCAAUGAUACAAAAUUUAAGCAAAAACAAGAACACUAAUAACACUAUCAAUCUUUCAUUUCAUAAUUACACUAGACACACUGAACAAUCAAUUCCAAUCUUAGCUACAAAAUUAGCAAAACAAAAUACACUAAUAACACUAUCUAAUCUUUUCAUUUUACGAUAAACAAUAUACAAAAGUUAGCAAAAAACAAGAACACUAAUAACACUAUUUCAAUCUUCCAUUUCUAAUAACAAUAUAGAAAAUUAGCAAACAAUAAUACACUAUACACUAGUCAAUGCUUCUCAUUUCUUGAUAACAAUAUAAAAAUUUAAAAAAAAAAACAAGAACACUAAUAACACUAUCAAUCUGUCUCAUUUCUUAAUAACAACUAUACAAAAUUAUAAAACUAAGAUCAUAAUAACACUAUCUAAUCUCUCAUCUUCUGGAUAACAAUAAUACAGAAAUUUAGCAAAACCAUGAUACACUAAAUAACACUAUCAAUCUUCCUCAUUUGCUUAAUAACAAUUAUACAAAAUUGCUCAGCAAACAAUGAAGACAACUAAUAACACUAUCAAUCUUCUCAUUCUUGAUAAAAUAUACAAACAAUUUUAGCAAGACUAAGAAACACUAAUAACACUUCGAAUCUUCUAUUCCUUGAUAACAUAUUACAAAAUUUAGCAAACGAAGAACACUAUCAACAUAUAUCUUCUCAUUUCUUUGCAUAAACAAUAUACAAAAGUUAGAAAACAAGCCAACACUUAAUAACACUACUCAAGUCUCUGCAUUUACUUGAUAACAAUAUUACCAAAAUUUCAGCCAAAACAAGAACACCUAAUAACACUAUCAAUGCUUCUCAUUUCUUAAUAACAAUAUUACAAAAUUAGACCAAAACCAAGAACACUUAGAUAGAGCACUAUUCAAUACUCUCUCAUUUCUCCUGGAUAACAAUUAUACAAAAAUUUAGCGAACAAGAACACUAUAAUAACACUAUCAAUCUUUCUUUCCCUUCAUAACAAUAUACAAAAAUUUAGCAAAACAAUGAACCAUCAAAUAACACUAUCAAUACUUCUCAUUUGGCUUCAAUAACAAUAUUACACAAAUUGUAACAACAAACAAGCAACAUCUAAGUACACAGGCUAUUCAAUCUUCUCAUUUCUCGUGAUUAAACAAUAUACAAAAAUUUGCAAAGCAAGAACCUAAUAAACUAUCAAUGCUUGUCUUCUUCAAUAGCAAAAUGAUCAAAAUAUUUAGAUAAAAACAAGAAUCACUAUAUAACACUAUCAAUCUAUACUCAUUUCAAUUCUAAAACUACAAAAAUCUUACGUAAAACAAGAAACACGAUCAUUAAUAACACUAUCCAACCUCUCAUUUGAUAACAAUAUAAAAUUGAAAAAACGAAAAUAAAACAUAUAAUUAGUCUGCAUUAUAACAACAUCAAAAUUUGCACAAACAAGAAACUAAACUAACCGAUCAAUCUUCUCAUUUCUUGAUAACAAUAUACAAAAUUUAGAAAAACACGAACACUAAUAACACUAUCAAUCUUCUCAUUCCUUGAUAAACAAUAUACAUAAACUUGCAAAACAAGAACACUAAUAACACUAUCAAUCUUCUCAUUUCUGUAUAAACAAAUACAAAAUUUAGAAAAACAAGAACACUAAUAACACUAUCAAUCUUCUCAUUUCUGAUAACAAUAUACAAAAGUUGCAAAACAGAACACUAAUAACACUAUUCAAUCUUUCUCAUUUCUUAAUACAAUAUAGAAAAUUUAGCGAAAUAAGAAACACUAAUAACACUAUCAAUCUUCUCAUUUCUUGAUAACAAUAUAACAAAAUUUAGCUAAACAAAGAAUUACUAAGUUAAAACUAUCACAUCCUCUCAUUUCUUGAUAACAAUAUACAAAAUAUUAAAGCAAAACAAGGAACACUUAUAACACUAUCAAUCUUCUUCAUUCUUGAUAACAAUAUACAAAAUUUAGAAAAACAAGAACACUAAUAACACUAUCAAUCUUCUCAUUUCUGAUAACUAUAUACAAAAAUUUAGCAAAACAAGAACACUAAUAACACUAUCAUUCUUCUCAUUUCUUAAUAACAAUAUAGAAAAUGUAGCAAAACCAAGAACUAAUAAAACACUAUCAAUCUUCUUCAUUUCUUAAUCAAUAUACAAANNNNNNNNNUACAAACAAUAUACAAAAUUUAGCAAACAAGAACACAAUACACUAUCAAUCUUCAUCUUUUGUACUAAAAUUUAGCAAAAAACAAGAACACUAAUAACACUAUAAUCCAUUCUCUCAUUUACAAUUAUUAACAAUAUACAAAAUUUUAACAGCAAAACAAGACUCUAAUAACAUAUCAAUCUUCCAUUUCUUGAUAAACAAUAUACAAAUUUAGCAAAACAAGAAACAUAAAACACUAUCAAUCUUCUCAAUUUCUGAUAACAAUAUAAAAUUUAGCAAACAAGAACACUAAUAACACUAUCAAUCUUCUCAUUUCUUGAUAACAAUAUACAAAAUUUAGCAAAACAGAACACUAAUAACACUAUCAAUCUUCUCAUUUCUUGAUAACAAUUAUACAAAUUGAGCAAAACAGAACACUAAUAACACUAUCAAAUCUUUUCUCAUUUCUUGAUAACAAUAUACAAAAAUUUAGCCAAACAAGAACACUAAUAAACACUAUCGAAUCUUCGUCAUUUCUGAUAACAAAUACAAAAUUUAGCAAAACAAGAACACUAAUAACACUAUUCAAUCUUCUCAUUUCUUUAAUAACAAUAUACAAAAUUUAAAAGAAACAACACUUUAAUAAACACUAUAUCAAUCUUCUCAUUUCUUGAUAACAAUUACAAAAUUAGCCAAACAAGAACACUAAUAACACUAUCAAUCUUCUCAUUUCGUUGAUAACAAUAUAAAAUUAGCAAAACAAGAACACUAAUAAACACUAUCAAACUUUUCUCAUUCUUUGAUAACAUAUACAAAAAUUUAGAAAACAAGAACACUAAUAACACUAUCAAUGCUUCUCUUUCUGAUAACAAUAUACAAAAAUUUAGCAAAACAAGAACACUAAUAACACUAUCAUCUUCUCAUUUCUUAUAGACAUAUACAAAUUUAGCCGAACUAAACGUACACGAAUCUGCUCAUUCCAUACAAAUAGAAAUACAAAACAAGAACACUAAUAACACUAUCAAUCUUCUUCAUUUCUUGAAUAACAAUAUACAAAAUUUAGCAAAACAAGAACACUAAUACACUAUCAAUCUUCUCUUUUCUAAAACAAUAUAAAAUUUAGCAAACAAGAACACUAAUAACACUAUCAAUCUUCUAUUUUUGAUAACAAUAUACAAAAUUUCAGCAUAAACAAGAAACUAAUAAACUAUCAAUCUCUCUUUCUUUAUAACAAUAACCAAAAUAUAGCAAAACAAUAACACUAAAACACUAUCAAUCUUCUCAUUUCUUGAUAACAAUAUACAAAAUUUAGCAGAAACAAGAACAUAAUAACACUAUCAAUCUUCUCAUUUCUGAAUAAACAAUAUAAAAAAAUUAGCAAAACAAGAACACUAAUAAUACUAUCAAUCUUUCUCAUUUCUUGAUAACAAUAUACAAAAAUUAGCAAACAAGAACACUAAUAACACUAUCAAUCUUCUCAUUUCUUAUAACAAAUAAAAAUUUAGCAAAACAAAACACGUAAUAACACUAUCAAUCUUCUCAUUCUUAAUAACAAUAUACAAAAAUUUAAAAAAACAAGACAUUAAUAAACAUAUCAAUCUCUCAUUUCUUGAUAACAAUAUACAAAAUUUGCAAAACAAGAACACUAAUAACACUAUCAAUCUUCUCAUUUCUUCGAUACAAUAUACAAAUUUAGGCAAAACAAGAACACUAAUAAACACUAUCAAUCUUCUCAUUUCUUGAUUACAAUAUAACAAAAUUUAGCAAAAACAAGAACACUAAUAACACUAUCAAUUUCUCAUUCUUGAUAACAAUAUACAAAAUUUAGCAAAACAAGAAACACUAAUAACCUAUCAAUCUUCUCAUUUCGUUGAUAACAAUAUACAAAAUUUAGCAAAAACAAGAACACUAAUAACACUAUCAAUCUUCUCAGUUUCUUGAUAACAAACAAUAUACAAAAUUUGGCAAAACAAGAACACUAAUAACACUAUCAAUCUUCUCAUUUCUUGAUAACAAUAUACAAAAUUUAGAAAAACAAGAACACUAAUAACACUAUCAAUCUUCUCAUUCCUUCAUAACAAUAUACAAAAUUUAGCAAAACAAGAACACUAAUAACACUAUCAAUCUUCUCAUUUCUUGAUAACAAUAUACAAAAUUUAGAAAAACAAGAACACUAAUAACACUAUCAAUCUUCUCAUUUCUGGAUAACAAUAUACAAAAUUUAGCAAAACAAGAACACUAAUAACACUAUCAAUCUUCUCAUUUCUUAAUAACAAUAUAGAAAAUUUAGCAAAACAAGAACACAAAUAACACUAUCAAUCUUCUCAUUUCUUGAUAACAAUAUAAAAAAUUUAGCUAAACAAGAAUACUAAUAAAACUAUCAAUCCUCUCAUUUCUUGAUAACAAUAUACAAAAUAUAGCAAAACAAUAACACUAAUAACACUAUCAAUAUUCUCAUUUCUUAAUAACAAUAUACAAAAUUUNNN